Molecule: long non-coding RNA, 274 nt
Filed under: Hordeum vulgare
Lineage: Eukaryota; Viridiplantae; Streptophyta; Magnoliopsida; Poales; Poaceae
Description: long non-coding RNA (HVUL_LNC001890)
Source: RNAcentral
GUCAUUGCUUAGACUUGGGUUUUGUUUAGAUUAAAGUUUGUCAUAGUUGCAACUCGCGGACUUCGUUUGUGUCCAAUGGUCAGACCAAUACUUCUAAGGACACCACUUCCAUUAAUAAAGCUUUAAUCUUAAUUUGCAGUAUCGAGAUUGCAAUAUUAGUUCAUUCUUGUCCUUUGUUUGCAUGCAUGAUCCUCUAGUAGGUUUAGUGUAGCUAGUACCUCGUGGUUAGGUCGAUCGUGCUCUGGUGUGGUUAAUAACCUCUUGGAGUUGGUUG